Non-coding RNA from Parelaphostrongylus tenuis, 71 nucleotides. Lineage: Eukaryota; Metazoa; Nematoda; Chromadorea; Rhabditida; Metastrongylidae. The record is from the annotation of a GenBank genome assembly.
GGCUCAGUGGUGUAGUGGCAACACGCGCUCUCGGUGUGGGUGAAACGUGGGUUCAACUCUCGCUUGAGGUU